This 501-nucleotide ribosomal RNA is filed under the name uncultured bacterium. RNAcentral's name for it is "partial 16S ribosomal RNA". It matches the Rfam family "Bacterial small subunit ribosomal RNA", at positions 28 to 506 of the family's 1533-position model. The record is from RNAcentral.
GACGAACGCUGGCGGCGUGCUUAACACAUGCAAGUCGAACGGUGAAGGGGUCUGCUUUUGUGGGCCCUGGAUGAGUGGCGAACGGGUGAGUAACACGUGAGUAACCUGCCCCCUUCUUCUGGAUAACCGCAUGAAAGUGUGGCUAAUACGGGAUAUUCUGGGUCUGUCGCAUGAUGGGUCUGGGAAAGAUUGCGCCUUUGGGUGUUUUUGGUGGGGGAUGGGCUCGCGGCCUAUCAGCUUGUUGGUGGGGUGAUGGCCUACCAAGGCGGUGACGGGUAGCCGGCCUAAGAGGGUGGACGGUCACACUGGGACUGAGACACGGCCCAGACUCCUACGGGAGGCAGCAGUGGGGAAUAUUACACAAUGGGCGCAAGCCUGAUGCAGCGACGCCGCGUGAGGGAUGGAGGCCUUCGGGUUGUAAACCUCUUUCGCCAGUGAAGCAGGCCUGCUCCUUGUGGGUGGGUUGACGGUAGCUGGAUAAGAAGCGCCGGCUAACUACGU